RNAcentral lists this ribosomal RNA (780 nucleotides) under Paenarthrobacter nitroguajacolicus. RNAcentral's name for it is "bacterial SSU rRNA". It matches the Rfam family "Bacterial small subunit ribosomal RNA", at positions 56 to 848 of the family's 1533-position model. Lineage: Bacteria; Bacillati; Actinomycetota; Actinomycetes; Micrococcales; Micrococcaceae. The record is from RNAcentral.
UGCAAGUCGAACGAUGAUCCCAGCUUGCUGGGGGAUUAGUGGCGAACGGGUGAGUAACACGUGAGUAACCUGCCCUUGACUCUGGGAUAAGCCUGGGAAACUGGGUCUAAUACCGGAUACGACCAUCUGGCGCAUGUCAUGGUGGUGGAAAGCUUUUGUGGUUUUGGAUGGACUCGCGGCCUAUCAGCUUGUUGGUGGGGUAAUGGCCUACCAAGGCGACGACGGGUAGCCGGCCUGAGAGGGUGACCGGCCACACUGGGACUGAGACACGGCCCAGACUCCUACGGGAGGCAGCAGUGGGGAAUAUUGCACAAUGGGCGAAAGCCUGAUGCAGCGACGCCGCGUGAGGGAUGACGGCCUUCGGGUUGUAAACCUCUUUCAGUAGGGAAGAAGCGAAAGUGACGGUACCUGCAGAAGAAGCGCCGGCUAACUACGUGCCAGCAGCCGCGGUAAUACGUAGGGCGCAAGCGUUAUCCGGAAUUAUUGGGCGUAAAGAGCUCGUAGGCGGUUUGUCGCGUCUGCUGUGAAAGACCGGGGCUCAACUCCGGUUCUGCAGUGGGUACGGGCAGACUAGAGUGCAGUAGGGGAGACUGGAAUUCCUGGUGUAGCGGUGAAAUGCGCAGAUAUCAGGAGGAACACCGAUGGCGAAGGCAGGUCUCUGGGCUGUAACUGACGCUGAGGAGCGAAAGCAUGGGGAGCGAACAGGAUUAGAUACCCUGGUAGUCCAUGCCGUAAACGUUGGGCACUAGGUGUGGGGGACAUUCCACGUUUUCCGCGCCG